RNAcentral lists this ribosomal RNA (403 nucleotides) under uncultured bacterium. RNAcentral's name for it is "bacterial SSU rRNA". It matches the Rfam family "Bacterial small subunit ribosomal RNA", at positions 355 to 775 of the family's 1533-position model. The record is from RNAcentral.
UAGGGAAUAUUAGUAAUCUGGGAAACCGGGAACUAGCAACGCCGCGUGUGCGAUGAAGGCCUUCGGGUUGUAAAGCACUUUUUAAGGGAAUGAGAAAGGACAGUACCCUUAGAAUAAGUCUCGGCUAACUACGUGCCAGCAGCCGCGGUAAGACGUAGGAGACGAGCGUUAUUCGGAUUUACUGGGCGUAAGGCGCGUGCAGGCGGUUUGGUAAGUUGGAUGUGAAAGCUCUCGGCUCAACCGGGAGAGGUCGUUCAAAACUGCCAGACUAGAGAAUAGGAGAGGGAGGUGGAAUUCCGGGUGUAGUGGUGAAACGCGUAGAUAUCCGGAGGAACACCAAUGGCGAAGGCGACCUCCUGGCCUAUUUCUGACGCUCAGACGCGAAAGCUAGGGUAGCAAACGG